UCAGGCUGAAGACCUUACCCGAUUAGCUGAGAGGUGGUGCAUGGCCGUCGUCAGUUCGUACUGUGAAGCAUCCUGUUAAGUCAGGCAACGAGCGAGACCCACGUCCACAGUUGCCAGCAUACCCUCCGGGGUGAUGGGUACAUUGUGGAGACCGCCGCUGCUAAAGCGGAGGAAGGAGUGGGCAACGGUAGGUCAGUAUGCCCCGAAUCUCCCGGGCUACACGCGGGCUACAAUGGUUGGUACAAUGGGCAUCUACCCCGAAAGGGGAAGGAAAUCUCUUAAAGCCAAUCGUAGUUCGGAUUGAGGGCUGCAACUCGCCCUCAUGAAGCUGGAAUCCGUAGUAAUCGCGUUUCAACAGAACGCGGUGAAUACGUCCCUGCUCCUU
This 385-nucleotide ribosomal RNA is filed under the name uncultured Methanosaeta sp. RNAcentral describes it as "bacterial SSU rRNA". It matches the Rfam family "Archaeal small subunit ribosomal RNA", at positions 954 to 1338 of the family's 1478-position model. The record is from RNAcentral. Lineage: Archaea; Methanobacteriati; Methanobacteriota; Methanomicrobia; Methanotrichales; Methanotrichaceae.